This 644-nucleotide ribosomal RNA is filed under the name uncultured bacterium. RNAcentral describes it as "bacterial SSU rRNA". The stretch from base 1 to 547 matches the Rfam family "Bacterial small subunit ribosomal RNA", at positions 338 to 873 of the family's 1533-position model. The record is from RNAcentral.
CCUACGGGAGGCAGCAGUGGGGAAUUUUGGACAAUGGGCGCAAGCCUGAUCCAGCAAUGCCGCGUGCAGGAUGAAGGCCUUCGGGUUGUAAACUGCUUUUGUACGGAACGAAACGGUCUGCUUUAAUACAGUGGGCUAAUGACGGUACCGUAAGAAUAAGCACCGGCUAACUACGUGCCAGCAGCCGCGGUAAUACGUAGGGUGCGAGCGUUAAUCGGAAUUACUGGGCGUAAAGCGUGCGCAGGCGGUUAUAUAAGACAGAUGUGAAAUCCCCGGGCUCAACCUGGGACCUGCAUUUGUGACUGUAUAGCUAGAGUACGGUAGAGGGGGAUGGAAUUCCGCGUGUAGCAGUGAAAUGCGUAGAUAUGCGGAGGAACACCGAUGGCGAAGGCAAUCCCCUGGACCUGUACUGACGCUCAUGCACGAAAGCGUGGGGAGCAAACAGGAUUAGAUACCCUGGUAGUCCACGCCCUAAACGAUGUCAACUGGUUGUUGGGUCCUCUACUGACUCAGUAACGAACGACGUACGACGUGUAAGUAGACCGCCGUCGGGUAAGGUACGGUCCGGCGAAGGUUAGUUAAACGUUACGAAAGGAAGUUAGACGGCGUUGAGACGNGCCGACGGACGACGACGAGGGAGGAGG